UUUCUUGAUUUUAUAUGUAUAAAACGUAUAUAAUAAGAAUGUUAGGUAACUAACUAUGGCGAUAAACGUUAUAUAGAAUAUCCGUAGUGGACCCGGGGGCGGUACCCGGCGCCUCCACCAUAGCCUAUGUGUUGCAUGUGCUUUGGUGGGGGCGAAAUAGGAUCGACGCGCGCAGUAAAAAUAUGAUUUUUGCUCGGUAGGCACCACCGUUAUCGGACCGUUGUUAUAAGUGCAAACUUAAACAUGAAUAAUAUGAACGAUAACGCUAAGCAAGCCUUUGCAGUUCCUGCGAUUGCUGCUUAACUUAAACGUACGCGGUCGGGGGGCGCCGGGCAACAGAAGCCCCCACU
RNAcentral lists this transfer-messenger RNA (350 nucleotides) under Alphaproteobacteria bacterium. It matches the Rfam family "Alphaproteobacteria transfer-messenger RNA". From Rfam's summary of the family: Bacterial tmRNA, also known as 10Sa RNA or SsrA, is named for its dual tRNA and mRNA-like properties. Its role is to liberate the mRNA from a stalled ribosome. To accomplish this part of the tmRNA is used as a reading frame that ends in a translation stop signal. Lineage: Bacteria; Pseudomonadati; Pseudomonadota; Alphaproteobacteria. The record is from RNAcentral.